AGCUAGAAAAAUGGUACUUGGUCUGCAGUCUCCGCCGUCAGGUCCCUAAACUUUAAAGGACGUUGGAGACGUGGGGCUGGAGGUGGCACUCCAGGAGGCCUUCAUCUACGUCUCAGGAUAAGUUUCUCAGGAACCUCAGCUUUGUCCUCGCCGGGAACAUGGCCGGGAUUUGGCUUGUGAAAGAGGAUGCCUUGAUUUUCUCCCAGUUCAGCGUCUCGUGCAUGGCAAUGAUCCCUGUAGCAACUCCUGAUAUCAAAUGACUGCUGGAACCCUUC
Molecule: long non-coding RNA, 275 nt
Organism: Lolium rigidum
Lineage: Eukaryota; Viridiplantae; Streptophyta; Magnoliopsida; Poales; Poaceae
Exons: 3
Source: RefSeq, a predicted model, not a curated record